GAUGAACGCUGGCGGCGUGCUUAACACAUGCAAGUCGAACGAAGCACUUUUAUUUGAUUUCUUCGGAAUGAAGAUUUUAGUGACUGAGUGGCGGACGGGUGAGUAACGCGUGGGUAACCUGCCUCAUACAGGGGGAUAACAGUUAGAAAUGACUGCUAAUACCGCAUAAGACCACAGCACCGCAUGGUGCAGAGGUAAAAACUCCGGUGGUAUGAGAUGGACCCGCGUCUGAUUAGGUAGUUGGUGGGGUAACGGCCUACCAAGCCGACGAUCAGUAGCCGACCUGAGAGGGUGACCGGCCACAUUGGGACUGAGACACGGCCCAAACUCCUACGGGAGGCAGCAGUGGGGAAUAUUGCACAAUGGGGGAAACCCUGAUGCAGCGACGUCGCGUGAGCGAUGAAGUAUUUCGGUAUGUAAAGCUCUAUCAGCAGGGAAGAAAAUGACGGUACCUGACUAAGAAGCACCGGCUAAAUACGUGCCAGCCGCCGCCGUAA
This 497-nucleotide ribosomal RNA is filed under the name uncultured bacterium. Its description in RNAcentral is "partial 16S ribosomal RNA". It matches the Rfam family "Bacterial small subunit ribosomal RNA", at positions 28 to 523 of the family's 1533-position model. The record is from RNAcentral.